Molecule: ribosomal RNA, 484 nt
Filed under: uncultured bacterium
Lineage: Bacteria
Description: partial 16S ribosomal RNA
Rfam family: Bacterial small subunit ribosomal RNA
Source: RNAcentral
AUUGAACGCUGGCGGCAGGCCUAACACAUGCAAGUCGAGCGGAUGAAGGGAGCUUGCUCCUGUAUUCAGCGGCGGACGGGUGUGUAAUGCCUAGGAAUCUGCCUGGUAGUGGGGUAUAACGUCCGGAAACGGGCGCUAAUACCGCAUACGUCCUGAGGGUGAAAGUGGGGGUUCUUCGGACCUCUCGCUAUCAGAUGUGCCUAGGUCGGAUUUGCUAGUUGGUUGGGUAAAGGCCUACCAAGGCGACGAUCCGUAACUGAUCUGAGAGGAUGAUCAGUCAAAGUGGAAGGGAGACACGGAACAGACUACUACGGGAGGGAGCAGAGGGGAAUAGUGGACAAUGGGGGAAAGGAUGAUCAAGCAAAGCCGAGUGUGUGAAGAAGGUCUUCGGAUUGUAAAGCAAUUUAAGUGGGGAGGAAGGGAAGUAAGUUAAUACGUUGAUGUUUUGACGUUACCAAAAGAAUAAGCACCGGCUAACUACGUG